RNAcentral lists this unclassified non-coding RNA (318 nucleotides) under plant metagenome. RNAcentral's name for it is "partial contains 5.8S ribosomal RNA, internal transcribed spacer 2, and large subunit ribosomal RNA". The stretch from base 1 to 105 matches the Rfam family "5.8S ribosomal RNA", at positions 50 to 154 of the family's 154-position model. The record is from RNAcentral.
GAAAUGCGAUAAGUAAUGUGAAUUGCAGAAUUCAGUGAAUCAUCGAAUCUUUGAACGCACAUUGCGCCCGCCAGUAUUCUGGCGGGCAUGCCUGUUCGAGCGUCAUUUCAACCAUCAAGCCCCGCGCUUGUGUUGGGGACCUGCGGCUGCCGCAGGCCCUGAAAACCAGUGGCGGGCUCGCUGUCACACCGGGCGUAGUAGAUUUUAUCUCGCUCAGGGCGUGCUGCGGGUUCCGGCCGUCUUGCCAUAAAAGCCCAAACUUUUUUUGUUUUCUAUGGUUGACCUCGGAUCAGGUAGGAAUACCCGCUGAACUUAAGC